GACAAACGCUGGCGGCGUGCUUAACACAUGCAAGUCGAACGGUGAAGCGCCUUCCUUUUUGGUGGGUGUGGAUGAGUGGCGAACGGGUGAGUAACACGUGAGUAACCUGCCCCCUUCUUCUGGAUAACCGCAUGAAAGUGUGGCUAAUACGGGAUAUUCUGGGUCUGUCGCAUGAUGGGUCUGGGAAAGAUAUUGUUUCGGUGGGGGAUGGGCUCGCGGCCUAUCAGCUUGUUGGUGGGGUGAUGGCCUACCAAGGCGGUGACGGGUAGCCGGCCUGAGAGGGUGGACGGUCACACUGGGACUGAGACACGGCCCAGACUCCGACGGGAGGCAGCAGUGGGGAAUAUUGCACAAUGGGCGCAAGCCUGAUGCAGCGACGCCGCGUGAGGGAUGGAGGCCUUCGGGUUGUGAACCUCUUUCGCCAGUGAAGCAGGCCUGCCUCGUUUGUGGGUGGGUUGACGGUAGCUGGAUAAGAAGCGCCGGCUAACUACGUG
RNAcentral lists this ribosomal RNA (494 nucleotides) under uncultured bacterium. RNAcentral describes it as "partial 16S ribosomal RNA". It matches the Rfam family "Bacterial small subunit ribosomal RNA", at positions 28 to 507 of the family's 1533-position model. The record is from RNAcentral.